RNAcentral lists this long non-coding RNA (426 nucleotides) under Nicotiana benthamiana. RNAcentral describes it as "long non-coding RNA (NBEN_LNC036441)". The record is from RNAcentral. Lineage: Eukaryota; Viridiplantae; Streptophyta; Magnoliopsida; Solanales; Solanaceae.
GUACUUAGGGGGCACUAGGAGUAAAAGGCUUGGUAGCUGCAGCAAGUGUCGGAGAAUAAGGUCUAUUUGAGCGUUUGCCGACCUUAGCUCAUUGAGCAAUUCUAUUUUCAGAUUCUCUACUUGCGCCCUGAGUUUAUCAUUCUCCUUUGUCAAACGAGCCACUUCAUCAUUUGACAUGGGAACCCCUCGAGCUUGCCGACCUUCCAGGAUAGCAUUCCUGGCCUUCAACCUAUGAAUUUCCUCAGCUGCAUUAUUAUGGGCACUGAUAAGCUAAGAAACGGUGGAUGCACUGUCGACGCCCCCUUUUCCCCCCCUAAAAAAGAAACAAAAUGAGGUUUACGACAUUAUGGAUAUAACAACUCUUAUUCCCUUUUGGGAAUUAAGUUACGGAGUUUGAAGAGUCGCCACCUAAUGAUUAUAGUGCAU